AUGUAUAAUUAUUCAGUUUUUAGAUUUGUGUAUUUUAGAUAUUUUGAACCUUAUGGCAAGUUUUUGCCAGUGUCUGUAUUUAUUUUAUUAUAUUAUGUUGUGCUUAGGUACAGAUAUUAGAAAAAGGUUAUCUUGUGGUCCUUCGGGAUCAUGAGAAUUGUGUGACAUUUUGAUUAUAGAAAAUUGGGGUGUUACAGGC
Molecule: long non-coding RNA, 199 nt
Filed under: Capsicum annuum
Lineage: Eukaryota; Viridiplantae; Streptophyta; Magnoliopsida; Solanales; Solanaceae
Description: long non-coding RNA (CANN_LNC022041)
Source: RNAcentral